This 253-nucleotide ribosomal RNA is filed under the name uncultured prokaryote. Its description in RNAcentral is "partial 16S ribosomal RNA". It matches the Rfam family "Bacterial small subunit ribosomal RNA", at positions 524 to 776 of the family's 1533-position model. The record is from RNAcentral.
UACGAGGGGGGCAAGCGUUGUUCGGAAUUAUUGGGCGUAAAGGGUGCGUAGGCGGCGGGGCAAGUCAGGUGUGAAAUCCCGGAGCUCAACUCUGGAACUGCACUUGAUACUGCCUUGCUAGAGUACUGGAGAGGAGAUUGGAAUUUACGGUGUAGCAGUGAAAUGCGUAGAUAUCGUAAGGAAGACCAGUGGCGAAGGCGAAUCUCUGGACAGUUACUGACGCUGAGGCACGAAGGCCAGGGGAGCAAACGGG